Molecule: non-coding RNA, 779 nt
Filed under: Hydroporus brevis
Lineage: Eukaryota; Metazoa; Arthropoda; Insecta; Coleoptera; Dytiscidae
Source: RNAcentral
AUAAAGUUUAAUUUUAGUUUAAUAAUUUAUUUAAUUUUUUUUUUACAUGUAAAUUUUAGUGGGAAUAUAAUAAUAAUUUUAAUAAUUAUUAUUAAAAAAUUUUAUUCGCAGUAUAAAGAUUUAUUAAUUUAAGAAAUUAAGAAUUAUAAAUAAAUUUAUAUAUUAACAAAAUUUGUGCCAGCAGUUGCGGUUAUACAAAAAAUAUAAAUAAAUUUUAUUAGUAAAUAAUUAAAUGAAUUUAAUUUAAUAAAAAUAAAAUUUAUAAAGUGAAAUUUAAAAUUUUUAAUAAUUAUAAUUAAAGUUAUUGAUAUUAUGAAAUUUAUGAUUUAAACUAGGAUUAGAUACCCUAUUAUUAUAAAUGUUAAWUUUUACUAAAGUAGUAUUAGUUAUGAUCUUGAAAUUUAAAAAUUUUGGCGGUAUUUUAGUCUAUUCAGAGGAACCUGUUCUAUAAUUGAUAAUCCACGAUAAAUUAUACUUUAUUUAAUAGUUUAUAUAUCGUCGUUAUUAAAUAUUUUAWWAGAAUUAUAAUAUUUAAGAUUUUUAAUUAAAAAAUAUAUCAGAUCAAGGUGUAGUUUAUAAUAAAGAAGAAAUGGGUUACAAUAAAUUUAUUUAUGGAUUUUUAUAUAAAAAUAUAGAAUGAAAUUGGAUUUGAUAGUAAUAAAUUUUAUAUUUAAUUUAUGAUUAAAGCUCUAAAAUGUGUACAUAUCGCCCGUCACUCUUAUUAUAAGAUAAGAUAAGUCGUAACAUAGUAGAUGUACUGGAAAGUGUAUCUAGAAUGA